AAGUCGAACGCUUCUUUCCUCCCGAGUGCUUGCACUCAAUUGGAAAGAGGAGUGGCGGACGGGUGAGUAACACGUGGGUAACCUACCCAUCAGAGGGGGAUAACACUUGGAAACAGGUGCUAAUACCGCAUAACAGUUUAUGCCGCAUGGCAUAAGAGUGAAAGGCGCUUUCGGGUGUCGCUGAUGGAUGGACCCGCGGUGCAUUAGCUAGUUGGUGAGGUAACGGCUCACCAAGGCCACGAUGCAUAGCCGACCUGAGAGGGUGAUCGGCCACACUGGGACUGAGACACGGCCCAGACUCCUACGGGAGGCAGCAGUAGGGAAUCUUCGGCAAUGGACGAAAGUCUGACCGAGCAACGCCGCGUGAGUGAAGAAGGUUUUCGGAUCGUAAAACUCUGUUGUUAGAGAAGAACAAGGACGUUAGUAACUGAACGUCCCCUGACGGUAUCUAACCAGAAAGCCACGGCUAACUACGUGCCAGCAGCCGCGGUAAUACGUAGGUGGCAAGCGUUGUCCGGAUUUAUUGGGCGUAAAGCGAGCGCAGGCGGUUUCUUAAGUCUGAUGUGAAAGCCCCCGGCUCAACCGGGGAGGGUCAUUGGAAACUGGGAGACUUGAGUGCAGAAGAGGAGAGUGGAAUUCCAUGUGUAGCGGUGAAAUGCGUAGAUAUAUGGAGGAACACCAGUGGCGAAGGCGGCUCUCUGGUCUGU
Molecule: ribosomal RNA, 707 nt
Filed under: uncultured Bacilli bacterium
Lineage: Bacteria; Bacillati; Bacillota; Bacilli
Description: bacterial SSU rRNA
Rfam family: Bacterial small subunit ribosomal RNA
Source: RNAcentral